CGCUAAUAGAUGAGCCUAAGUCAGAUUAGCUAGUUGGUGGGGUAAAGGCCUACCAAGGCGACGAUCUGUAGCGGGUCUGAGAGGAUGAUCCGCCACACUGGGACUGAGACACGGCCCAGACUCCUACGGGGGGCAGCAGUGAGGAAUAUUGGACAAUGGGCGGAAGCCUGAUCCAGCCAUGCCGCGUGCAGGAAGACUGCCCUAUGGGUUGUAAACUGCUUUUAUACGGGAAGAAUAAGGUCUACGUGUAGACUGAUGACGGUACCGUAAGAAUAAGGACCGGCUAACUCCGUGCCAGCAGCCGCGGUAAUACGGAGGGUCCGAGCGUUAUCCGGAAUUAUUGGGUUUAAAGGGUCCGUAGGCGGGCUGUUAAGUCAGGGGUGAAAGUUUGCAGCUCAACUGUAAAAUUGCCUUUGAUACUGGCGGUCUUGAGUUAUAUUGAAGUGGCUAGAAUAUGUAGUGUAGCGGUGAAAUGCAUAGAUAUUCAUGAAUC
RNAcentral lists this ribosomal RNA (493 nucleotides) under uncultured bacterium. RNAcentral describes it as "bacterial SSU rRNA". It matches the Rfam family "Bacterial small subunit ribosomal RNA", at positions 216 to 708 of the family's 1533-position model. The record is from RNAcentral.